RNAcentral lists this ribosomal RNA (253 nucleotides) under uncultured bacterium. Its description in RNAcentral is "partial 16S ribosomal RNA". It matches the Rfam family "Bacterial small subunit ribosomal RNA", at positions 524 to 776 of the family's 1533-position model. The record is from RNAcentral.
GACAGAGGAUGCAAGCAUUAUCCGGAAUGAUUGGGCGUAAAGCGUCUGUAGGUUGCUUUUCAAGUCUGCCGUCAAAUCCCAGGGCUCAACCCUGGACAGGCAGUGGAAACUAACAAGCUGGAGUACGGUAGGGGCAGAGGGAAUUUCCGGUGGAGCGGUGAAAUGCAUUGAGAUCGGAAAGAACACCAACGACAAAAGCACUCUGCUGGGCCGACACUGACACUGAGAGACGAAAGCUAGGGGAGCGAAUGGG